CCUACGGGUGGCUGCAGUGAGGAAUAUUGGUCAAUGGGCGCGAGCCUGAACCAGCCAAGUAGCGUGAAGGAUGACUGCCCUACGGGUUGUAAACUUCUUUUAUAAAGGAAUAAAGUGCGGCACGUAUGCCUUUUUGUAUGUACUUUAUGAAUAAGGAUCGGCUAACUCCGUGCCAGCAGCCGCGGUAAUACGGAGGAUCCGAGCGUUAUCCGGAUUUAUUGGGUUUAAAGGGUGCGUAGAUGGGUUGUUAAGUCAGGUGUGAAAGUUUGCGGCUCAACCGUAAAAUUGCAAUUGAUACUGGCAGGCUUGAGUACAGUUGAGGUAGGCGGAAUUCGUGGUGUAGCGGUGAAAUGCAUAGAUAUCACGCAGAACCCCGAUUGCGAAGGCAGCUUACUAAACUGCAACUGACACUGAUGCACGAAAGUGUGGGUAUCAAACAGGAUUAGAUACCCCAGUAGUC
RNAcentral lists this ribosomal RNA (460 nucleotides) under uncultured bacterium. RNAcentral's name for it is "partial 16S ribosomal RNA". It matches the Rfam family "Bacterial small subunit ribosomal RNA", at positions 338 to 795 of the family's 1533-position model. The record is from RNAcentral.